This 324-nucleotide ribosomal RNA is filed under the name Principapillatus hitoyensis. Its description in RNAcentral is "partial 12S ribosomal RNA". The record is from RNAcentral. Lineage: Eukaryota; Metazoa; Onychophora; Udeonychophora; Euonychophora; Peripatidae.
ACUAUUAAAAUAUAAUAAUUCAAAGACCUCCAACAAAAUAAAUUUGACGGUAUUAACUUUUACAAAGGAAUUUGUUUCCUAAUCGACAACCCACGAUAUAUCUUACUUAAUAAUUAUCUGUAUACCACCGUUACUCGAAAUUAUUUUCAAACAAAUCUCAUAAUAGACCUAAAUCUAAAAAAUCAGGUCAAGGUGCAAUUUUAUUAAGCCGAAAUGAAUUACAUUAAUUUAUAUUUACUCAUAAUAACUGAAACUUUUAUUAAAAAUAGAAUUUGUUAGUAAAAUAUUAUCAUCAUGAUAAUUUGAAAAUUAACAUUAAUAUGU